UGCCAGCAGCCGCGGUAAUACGGAGGGUCCAAGCGUUAUCCGGAAUCAUUGGGUUUAAAGGGUCCGUAGGCGGGCAAUUAAGUCAGAGGUGAAAUCCCACAGCUCAACUGUGGAACUGCCUUUGAUACUGGUUGUCUUGAGUCAUUAUGAAGUAGUUAGAAUAUGUAGUGUAGCGGUGAAAUGCAUAGAUAUUACAUAGAAUACCAAUUGCGAAGGCAGAUUACUAAUAAUGUACUAACACUGAUGGACGAAAGCGUGGGGAGCGAACAGGAUUAGAUA
RNAcentral lists this ribosomal RNA (279 nucleotides) under uncultured bacterium. RNAcentral's name for it is "partial 16S ribosomal RNA". It matches the Rfam family "Bacterial small subunit ribosomal RNA", at positions 506 to 784 of the family's 1533-position model. The record is from RNAcentral.